GACUGGGUAGCUCAGUAGGUAAGAGCACUCGUUCUGUUAGCGAGGGGUCCCGGGUUCGAUUCCUGGUCUGGUUG
This is a non-coding RNA of Lingula anatina, 74 nucleotides long. The record is from Rfam. Lineage: Eukaryota; Metazoa; Brachiopoda; Lingulata; Lingulida; Lingulidae.